RNAcentral lists this ribosomal RNA (526 nucleotides) under uncultured eukaryote. RNAcentral's name for it is "eukaryotic LSU rRNA". It matches the Rfam family "Eukaryotic large subunit ribosomal RNA", at positions 1059 to 1560 of the family's 3401-position model. The record is from RNAcentral.
CAAACUCUGAAUGGGCGUGGCUAACUUACUUGUGGUCCUGGCAAGACCAUGAGAAGUAGUAGAAUGGUGGCACAUCUAGUGGGCCAUGUUCUGGUAAGCAGGACUGGCGAUGUGGGAUGAACCAAACGUCGAGCUACGGGGCCCAAAUGGGUACUCAGAGACACCAUAAAGGGUGUUGAUUCAUACAGACAGCAGGACGGUGGCCACGGAAGUCGGCAUCCGCUAAGAAGUGUGUAACAACUUACCUGCCGAAUGAAUCAGCCCCCAAAAUGGAUGGCGCUCAAGCACUCUCCCUAUACUCGACUGUUGUGGUAAUUCCAAAAAAGAAUAAAGGAACCGCAACAAGUAGGAAGGCGUAGAGGUUAUUGCGAAGCCUUAGGCGUAAGCCUGGGUGGAACUGCCUCUAGUGCAGAUCUUGGUGGUAGUAGCAAAUACUCAAGUGAAAAACUUGAGGGUCGAAGUUGGAGAAAGGUUCCACAGCAACCGUAUUGGGCUGUGGGUUAGUCGGUCCUAAGACAUAGGGGAG